CCUACGGGAGGCAGCAGUGGGGAAUUUUCCGCAAUGGGCGAAAGCCUGACGGAGCAAUACCGCGUGAGGGAUGAAGGCCUAUGGGUUGUAAACCUCUUUUUUCAGGGAGGAAUAAAUGACGUGUACCUGAAGAAUAAGCAUCGGCUAACUCCGUGCCAGCAGCCGCGGUAAGACGGGGGAUGCAAGUGUUAUCCGGAAUCACUGGGCGUAAAGCGUCUGUAGGUGGUUAAAUAAGUCAACUGUUAAAUCUUGAGGCUUAACUUCAAAAUCGCAGUCGAAACUGUUUGACUAGAGUAUAGUAGGGGUAAAGGGAAUUUCCAGUGGAGCGGUGAAAUGCGUAGAUAUUGGAAAGAACACCGAUGGCGAAGGCACUUUACUGGGCUAUUACUAACACUGAGAGACGAAAGCUAGGGUAGCAAAUGGGAUUAGAUACCCCAGUAGUCCUAGCUGUAAACAAUGGAUACUAGAUGUUGAACAGAUCGACCUGUGCAGUAUCAAAGCUAACGCGUUAAGUAUCCCGCCUGGGAAGUAUGCUCGCAAGNGUGAAACUNAAAGGAUUGUAAGGNGUGAGAGUGCGAGACGACGACGAGGAGAGG
Molecule: ribosomal RNA, 596 nt
Filed under: uncultured bacterium
Lineage: Bacteria
Description: bacterial SSU rRNA
Rfam family: Bacterial small subunit ribosomal RNA
Source: RNAcentral